AACGAACGCUGGCGGCAUGCCUAACACAUGCAAGUCGAACGAGACCUUCGGGUCUAGUGGCGCACGGGUGCGUAACGCGUGGGAACCUGCCCUUAGGGUCGGAAUAACUCCCCGAAAGGGGUGCUAAUACCGGAUAAUGUCUACGGACCAAAGAUUUAUCGCCCUUGGAUGGGCCCGCGUUGGAUUAGCUAGUUGGUAGGGUAAAAGACUACCAAGGCGACGAUCCAUAGCUGGUCUGAGAGGAUGAUCAGCCACACUGGGACUGAGACACGGCCGAGACUCCUACGGGAGGCAGCAGUGGGUGAUAUUGGAAAAUGGGCGGAGGGCUGAUGCAGCUAUGCCGCGUGAGUUAUGAAGUCCUGAGGGUUGUAAAGCUCUUUUAACCGGGAUGAUAAUGACAGUACCGGGAGAAUAAGCCCCGGCUAACUACGUG
Molecule: ribosomal RNA, 433 nt
Filed under: uncultured bacterium
Lineage: Bacteria
Description: partial 16S ribosomal RNA
Rfam family: Bacterial small subunit ribosomal RNA
Source: RNAcentral